CAGCAUACUGUGGUGAAUACGUUCCCGGGCCUUGUACACACCGCCCGUCACACCAUGAGAGUUGAGAAUACCCGAAGCCCAUGUCAAAGUGGUCGAAGGUAGGCUUGAUGAUUGGGGUGAAGUCGUAACAAGGUAGC
RNAcentral lists this ribosomal RNA (137 nucleotides) under uncultured bacterium. RNAcentral describes it as "partial 16S ribosomal RNA". It matches the Rfam family "Bacterial small subunit ribosomal RNA", at positions 1350 to 1500 of the family's 1533-position model. The record is from RNAcentral.